Molecule: ribosomal RNA, 658 nt
Filed under: uncultured Gammaproteobacteria bacterium
Lineage: Bacteria; Pseudomonadati; Pseudomonadota; Gammaproteobacteria
Description: bacterial SSU rRNA
Rfam family: Bacterial small subunit ribosomal RNA
Source: RNAcentral
AGAGUUUGAUCCUGGCUCAGAGUGAACGCUGGCGGCAGGCCUAACACAUGCAAGUCGAACGGCAGCGCAGCAGUAGCAAUACUGUGGGCGGCGAGUGGCGGACGGGUGAGGAAUACAUCGGAAUCUACCUUGUCGUGGGGGAUAACGUAGGGAAACUUACGCUAAUACCGCAUACGACCUACGGGUGAAAGCGGCGGACCGCAAGGCGUCGCGCGAUUGGAUGAGCCGAUGUCCGAUUAGCUAGUUGGCGGGGUAAGAGCCCACCAAGGCGACGAUCGGUAGCUGGUCUGAGAGGAUGAUCAGCCACACUGGAACUGAGACACGGUCCAGACUCCUACGGGAGGCAGCAGUGGGGAAUAUUGGACAAUGGGCGCAAGCCUGAUCCAGCCAUGCCGCGUGUGUGAAGAAGGCCUUCGGGUUGUAAAGCACUUUUGUUGGGGAAGAAAAGCUUCUGGUUAAUACCCGGGAGUUCUGACGGUACCCAAAGAAUAAGCACCGGCUAACUUCGUGCCAGCAGCCGCGGUAAUACGAAGGGUGCAAGCGUUACUCGGAAUUACUGGGCGUAAAGCGUGCGUAGGUGGUUCGUUAAGUUCGUUGUGAAAGCCCCGGGCUCAACCUGGGAACGGCAAUGGAAACUGGCGGGCUCGAGUGCGGCAGA